Molecule: long non-coding RNA, 389 nt
Filed under: Trifolium pratense (red clover)
Lineage: Eukaryota; Viridiplantae; Streptophyta; Magnoliopsida; Fabales; Fabaceae
Description: long non-coding RNA (TPRA_LNC000412)
Source: RNAcentral
GAACAUUUCGUGGAGGCUCAUUGCAAAAUGUCAAUCAUAUUGCACAUCUUUCUGGUGCUCUUGUCGGCGUGCUCUUGGUUUGGCUCCUUAGCAAAGUUCCUUCUGAUUCUCCAGACCGAUAAUCCACUUUGGAAUUGUUAAAUGCCCGCGAUUAUUUAUAGAUCAGAAUCAGAAUGAUGCUACUUAUAUAAAUUCCAUACCACAUGAAUGUAUAUUUAACAACAAAAUGUAAUCAUCUGAGAUGAGGUUCACUUGUGCAACUGCAUAUAAAUGUAGAUGUAAUAUUUGUGGAAAUAGCAUUACUCAUUGAUCCCAACCAACACAGUGUGGUAAGGGUAGAUAAUCUGAAAUGUAGAGCUUCCUUAAUUUUACCUUCUUUACAAUAUCCG